RNAcentral lists this ribosomal RNA (492 nucleotides) under uncultured bacterium. RNAcentral's name for it is "partial 16S ribosomal RNA". It matches the Rfam family "Bacterial small subunit ribosomal RNA", at positions 29 to 507 of the family's 1533-position model. The record is from RNAcentral.
AGCGAACGCUGGCGGUAGGCCUAACACAUGCAAGUCGAACGGCAGCACAGUAAGAGCUUGCUCUCACGGGUGUCGAGUGGCGGACGGGUGAGGAAUACAUCGGAAUCUACUUUUUCGUGGGGGCUAACGUAGGGAAACUUACGCUAAUACCGCAUACGACCUACGGGUGAAAGCAGGGGAUCUUCGGACCUUGCGCGAUUGAAUGAGCCGAUGUCGGAUUAGCUAGUUGGCGGGGUAAAGGCCCACGAAGGCGACGAUCCGUAGCUGGUCUGAGAGGAUCAACCGCCAGACUGUAAGUGAGGCUCGGUCGCGACUCCGAGGGUAGGCAGCAGUGGGGACUAUUGGAGGAUGGAGGCAAGCCUGAUCCAGCCAUACCGCGUGGAUGCAGAAGGCGUUAGGGUUGUAGAGCGCUUAUGUUGUGAGGGAAAAGCAGCACGUUAAUACCCCGCUGUUCUGACGGUACCCAGAGAAUAAGCACCGGCUAACUUCGUG